Molecule: ribosomal RNA, 185 nt
Filed under: Escherichia coli
Lineage: Bacteria; Pseudomonadati; Pseudomonadota; Gammaproteobacteria; Enterobacterales; Enterobacteriaceae
Description: partial 23S ribosomal RNA
Rfam family: Bacterial large subunit ribosomal RNA
Source: RNAcentral
GGGUUGUGAGGUUAAGCGACUAAGCGUACACGGUGGAUGCCCUGGCAGUCAGAGGCGAUGAAGGACGUGCUAAUCUGCGAUAAGCGUCGGUAAGGUGAUAUGAACCGUUAUAACCGGCGAUUUCCGAAUGGGGAAACCCAGUGUGAUUCGUCACACUAUCAUUAACUGAAUCCAUAGGUUAAUGA